CGUAGGGUGCGAGCGUUAAUCGGAAUUACUGGGCGUAAAGCGUGCGCAGGCGGUUUAGUAAGACAGGCGUGAAAUCCCCGGGCUCAACCUGGGAACUGCGCUUGUGACUGCUAAGCUAGAGUACGGCAGAGGGGGGUGGAAUUCCACGUGUAGCAGUGAAAUGCGUAGAGAUGUGGAGGAACACCAAUGGCGAAGGCAGCCCCCUGGGUCGAUACUGACGCUCAUGCACGAAAGCGUGGGUAGCAAACAGGAUUAGAUACCCUGGUAGUCCACGCCCUAAACGAUGUCGACUAGGUGUUGGGAGGGUAAAACCUUUUAGUACCGGAGCUAACGCGUGAAGUUGACCGCCUGGGGAGUACGGCCGCAAGGUUA
This 372-nucleotide ribosomal RNA is filed under the name uncultured organism. RNAcentral describes it as "bacterial SSU rRNA". It matches the Rfam family "Bacterial small subunit ribosomal RNA", at positions 526 to 896 of the family's 1533-position model. The record is from RNAcentral.